Long non-coding RNA from Mytilus californianus (California mussel), 2911 nucleotides. RefSeq lists it as uncharacterized. The record is from RefSeq and is a predicted model, not a curated record. The transcript is spliced from 5 exons. NCBI's taxonomy places the organism in Eukaryota, Metazoa, Mollusca, Bivalvia, Mytilida, Mytilidae.
AACUCUGAUUCAAAUGUUAGGUAUAAAAACAUAAUGGCUUUGCACUCACUUGGAAAAUCGGGUAGCACUGGUUUGAAUGGACUUUAAGGAAUUCUCAUUGGAUAUUCCGAACAUAUUACAAAAUUCGACAUUCUUGUUAAUUCAAGUUUGAUUUGAUUUAUAUCCAUAUUAAGUUGGACAUCGAAAUGAACUAUACAGCAUUAAAAGACUUACCUCCAUGCACCGUUGUAAAAUGGAACACAUAUGUAGAAAAUCCAGGAGUUUUGUAUGAUCUGAUAGAAUCACCGGAUAUGAUUUGGAAUUUGACUUGUAAAGAAGAUAGAUCAAUUAAAGUAGAUACUGCUGAAGAACUCCAACUUAUCAUAGAAGAUCUCCUUCACAAACCAAUUUUGUUUCAAUGUUUUGUACUACAUCAGACAAAUGAAUUCAGGGGUUAUUACAAUAACAUUAUUUGGGUUGAAGAGUGGUUUGCCGUUCUUAUAAAUCCACAGAAUCCAGCAGUACAAGAGUUUUUGCAUCCAUUAUUGACAGAAGCAACUCAGCAUGCAAACGCUGGAGAAAAAUUCUGCCUUAAGAUCAAAUUUGGAAAAUGUAUUGAAGAGUGGUACUUAAAUUAUAUACCGAACGAAAGUGUGUUAGCCGGAAGGGCAACGGGUUCAAAAGGAAUGGGUUUACAAAUCUACAACGAUUCUUCACCGAUACAGAUCUGCUAUAAUCCGUCCUUUAUCUGUUUAUUAAUACCAUUCUGGUUGCUUUUCGGAGGUUCAUGUUACGUGGUACAUCGAAAAAUGGAAUAUUUCGAUAGAAGAGAACAGUUAAGUGGUAUACCUAUAUCGCUUUUAAAUGAAGAGGAAUAGAACAUGUACUAUACAGUAAUACAGCAUCGAAGGGACAACAGGGCAAUUUUGUAGAUAUUUUGAUUUUAUUCAUAUGUACACUAUAUUUAAUACAUUUUAAAAGGUCAUAGUUAGAAUUUUUUGAUAUUAAUUUCCUCUAAGAUUGCUCUUUAUAGCUCCGGCUGUAUAAGAAACACAUUUUCCUACAGAUAACAAUACCAGAGACUAUAAAAAAUAUGUAAAAACUUGCAAAUAGCUUUAGCUCUUAAUGAUAGCAUUUUCCUUCAAACACAAGCAUUUUCAUUUUGGAUCUUUAGUCAAAUGUUUUAAUACUAUUUUUAUCUAAGGACAUCAUUCCAGAACAAGAAUUGUUUCAGUAAAUGCUACUACAUAUCAAUUUAGAGAGGAGGGGACUGGAUCGUAACCCUAUGCUAACGAAGAUGAUAUAAAACAAAUUCAUUUUUUUGGCUAAAGAUGAAGGACCGUGUGACUUUAAGAAAAUUAAACGUUUACAGCGCAUAGAUCAGGAUCGUAGGGAUGGGUCUAGAUCACACCUGCCGAUAAGAAGGCAAUUCACUAUUUAACUAGACCAAUUUUAACAGUGGUCGAAAGUAGCGCUAAAAUAAUCCAUAGAUGCUAUAAAUAUGUAUGAGACCAAUUCAUUACCAUAAAUAUUGUCCAUACGUCACGCAGUUUGGUAUACGAUGAACGUCUCGUUCUUUUUAUUAUGGACAAUUUAUAUUUCUUUAUAGUUUGGAGAUAUCUGUCAUAUAUUUUUCAUAGCAAUUGCUAAUGCUUUUAUAGAUCAUAUUUUUUAAGAUAGGGUGUCUUAUUAGAGAUUGAUUUCUGGUUACUUAUAUUUUUAUAUCAUGUAAUAACCUCUGUGAACCAACUGUGACUAUUUUGGUCUUUGCCAGCUAAUUGUCGCCUAGCUAUUUGAUUUUCGGUUGAUUCCUCUGGAAUUAGAGAUGUACUCUACACGUAGCUUAGAGUUUUAACAUGUUCUUCAAUUGGUAGCAUUUCAGAUAUCAUUUUUUGAGAUAAGAACAGUAUCUGUUUAUUACUGGUACGAGUAUCCCCAAUCCAUAUCGUAAUGUGUGUUGCUUCGCAUCACGGUGCGGAGCUAUUAGUUUAAGUCGAUAUACACGCCAUCUUGAAAUAAUUACUUAUUACAUAUAGAUUCUGAUUGGUUGCUUUAUGAUGCGGCUGAGAUACAGCAACAGCUAUUGGCUUAAAUGAGAUAAAGAAUUCUAGACUUUUCUCGUCUCAGGAUAAGACAUCAAAUGCCGGAAAAUUAACUAUGUGUAUUUCAGUUCCGAUCAACUGUCAUUAAUUCAUGUUUAUUUUAUUAUGCAUAUAUUGCACACUGAAAUUCAAUAUUGAAAUAUCAAUUAUUAAUACGUGUUUAAUUGCUUUGUUAAUCUGCAAUAUGCACGAUUUGUUUUGCUUAACAAUGUUCCUAUACAAUGUUUACAUAAAUGCAUUAUUUGUAUUUUAUAACUUCUUUUCAACAAGUAAAGUGAACAACAUUUUAAAAGCAUGGGUGUAUAACGCAUCUAAACACUGAACAGCCAGUUUAAAAUUUCAGAAAAGUUCAUCUUAAUAUAUAUACAAAAAUUGAUAUUCCAAGUCUAAGAAAUCCAUUUUAUAUCAAUCAAUAUAUGAAUAUACCACGUUUCCAAUAUUAAAUCAACAACCACAUGCACACAAAUUACCUUAAAAUAUGAUAGAGCGAAGCAGUCCACAGCUUUUUAGAAAGCUAAAACUUGUAUUAUAUGUUUUCAAUGUAUUAAUGCAGGUACUAGAGUUCAAUGCUUUUCUCCAUGAUACCCACCAGGUAUGAGACUGUAAGCUGUUCUAGCUUCUUAAUAUUUUCAUUGAUGGUAUUGAUUAUAAUGUAUUUGUGUUACUUUGAUCUUUGUGUUGAAAGAUGAGUUGCUGUUUGUACAUUUUGAAAUUUUGUAUGUUUUUGUUUUAAUUAACUGGGUAAUAUCGCUUUCUCUGUUUGUUUUUUCAUCUAAUAACUACGCUUUUUUGUGGUUGUAAUUUAUAAAUAAAUGCUCACUGCAACUGUA